This 597-nucleotide long non-coding RNA is filed under the name Serinus canaria (Common canary). RNAcentral's name for it is "lncRNA (ENSSCAG00000009354.1)". Lineage: Eukaryota; Metazoa; Chordata; Aves; Passeriformes; Fringillidae. The record is from RNAcentral.
AACAACGAUGACUGCCAUGAAUUCCAUUUCUGUAGGGUGAUACAACUUCAAGUGGGGUGUCUUGACCUGUGUGAUUGUGGAUGGGGAAUGAGAAAGAAGAUAGAGAAAUGGUCUUCUGAUAAAUUGUCUUCUGAUGCUUCACAUGACAGAGAGCAGAAAAUGCUGGGAGAGCCUGGAUGUUAUUUGUGCUGGAUGCACUUGGCUCCAGAUGAACAACAUGACCACUUCAUCUUCCUCCAGUUUACCCUGUCAAGGAACGGAGAAGUAUGGGCACAUAACUAGUAGGACAUUUAUUUUUGAAGACGUCUUCUUGGGCAGAAGAGGAAUGGUUCAGAAGGCUCUGCAACCUGCUGUUGAAGAGAGGAUCAGAAGAUAAUAGCAGCUGGACUCUUCCCCUCUCCCUUGCUGCACCCUGCUCCAAGCUGUGCUCAGUCAUAAACUCUGGGACAGACCCAUGUUUUUUUGGUUUCUGACACCACAGACUGUGGGGACUGGCUGGUAUUUUUGAUCCAUCUGCUGCAAAUAUUGGUGAGGAAUUCUUGUUUGGAACCACUUCCUUGUUUGCAUUUCACAGAAAGAUCUGCAACAGACUAUAAG